AUGUGCAGUCCUACUCAGUUCACCUUGAGAGGAGUUAAAGGUAUCUCUCAUGAGUUUUCUAGUACAACUAAAUAUUCUUGCUACACCAUAAGUAGCAGUACAUGGUGGGUAUUACUGGUGACUAUGCAAACUGUGAUGGGAGGCACUGAUAAUAUGGCGAGCAGCUUGAAUGGGGGUCGUUUGAUUGCUGAAAAUUGGUCGUCGGCUAUUCAGUGGGUACAAGUACAACUACCUAGUUCCUUAGAAGCUAAUGUGUGGUCUGUGCAACAAAUCUUCAAAACUCCUGUACAAGUCUUUGACACUUGUCCAGUCCUAAAAUUAUUGCCAAGUUGUUCUGCAUCUAUUCUUCUUAUGACAUAUUUCAUGGAGGAUAACACUCAGUUGAAAUAUAAAUGGAGAGCACCCUCUUUGUUCGAAGAAUUCCUAGAGGGAGUCCCAGUUUGGCAAAAUGGUAGCAUUUGUUGUUUAUUGAGAGAAGUUACUUGUGCAGUACAUAAACAAUCUACAGAAUUGCUUUCUUGUCCACCACAUACAUGCAUACAGUGGACUUUAUCUGCAAGUGCUAAAAAUUCCUGGUUCAAUUCUUGGCUAGUGUUGCUACUGUUCGGGGAGAUUUGUUUAUUUCAAGCCUUGUCUGGCUACCAUGUUACUGGAACUCUAGUGCUAAACAAGCUCAUGGGUCUAGCACCAGCAGAUGGUAGAGGAUAUGGUGUUCCGCUUCAAGUUGAGGCCCUGGUUAUCAUUAUUUGCUAUGUGCCACUUCAAGUUGAAGGUCUCAUGGAUGUUACUCCACUCUAUGCACCCUUUGUUAACAAAAGAAGGGUCACAUCGCUUGAAUUAGUUAUUGAAGUACCUCAACCCGUUAUUCACUAUCACUUGCCACUACAGAUAGGGGUUCUCGUGUUUCUACUCACCACCUUGUUUGACUUCCUUGAUAGCAUACAGUGCAACUCUGAGAAAUUCUGGGCUGCUCCUCCAUAUUGUUCAGAACAAUCCCAAUGGUUAAUUGCAUGGGAAUUCUUUAAUGUCUUCAAUGGCAGUCCAGGGCGUAAUCUACUGUUGAUGGUCACCGACAUUUUUAAGGCAUUGUGCAAUCCUUGUGUUGUUCCCAUGUCUACUCUCCUUGGCCAGGGAUCAGUUAUAUUACAAUCGAUCUGCGCACCUCUUCUUUGCACUUGCUGGAGCUCUCUGUUAGGGGAUUCAGGUUCCAUUCUUGCAACUCAAAAUGUGGAACCAAGGGUGCUUCCUAAGGUAACAAGUUCUGCUACCAGCCUAUGUUAUCCAGGAAUCUCUCUUGUGCAUGGCCAGAGUACUCUUCAACUGGUUGGUUCUCACUUACUCUAUCUCAUGUUAGUCGAUCGAGCGAUAACAAAAGAAAGGGUACAUGUCUUUGAUCCCAAGCCUGGUUUACUCUUUUGCUCAGCUCUUGCUGUUUGUACUGGUGAAUGCCAGACCAACUUGAUUCCGGGAGAAAUAGUACCUGUCAUUUGGUCUUCUCAAAACUAUGAGUACACGGGUGCAAUAUUUUUUGGACACUUGCUCUUAGCACUUGAGUUCUAUAGAGAUGGUUCAGCUGGGUACUUCUACUCUCAGUUCAUCAUCUUCCUACACACCAGCAAAACUGAGAGUCAUCAACAACCCCAAGGGACCUAUAAAACUACAGUCAUGUUGUUGCAAGAUCUCCAACCCAUUAUCCAGCUACUUGUUUCUUUGUUGUCCGGCCUGCACGCGAAGGAAAAGGUGCAGCUCUGCACAUGCCAACAUGUUCCUCCUGGUGGUCCAAUCGAAAAUAUUAAGAAAAUUGGCAUUGAGUCGGGACGAUUGAACAUGACCAAGCACACUAGGGAGGAUCGCAAUUUCUUUCAUCAACUUGUGAUUCGCGGUAUGAUCAUCCCCAAGGACAUACUACUACCAUAUGAUCCAGGUGGGUUGGCUCUUCGGUCUACAAGUGUGGCAGCAUUCUUGAUUCAAGGAUGUUCAUCAUCGGCUUGA
RNAcentral lists this ribosomal RNA (1992 nucleotides) under Triticum aestivum (bread wheat). RNAcentral describes it as "partial small subunit ribosomal RNA". The record is from RNAcentral. Lineage: Eukaryota; Viridiplantae; Streptophyta; Magnoliopsida; Poales; Poaceae.